CCGGGCCUGGGCGCGCUCCGGUAACGGCUGCCGGCGGCUGUUGGCGCCGCCUCGCGAGGGGGGAGCGUGUCCCCUCCCCCCCUCCCCAAAAUCGCCCUUUUCCGUGUGAUUUUUCCCUUCCCUUUGGAGGCUGCCGCCUCCCCCGGCUGCGCUCACGGGUUUUGUUCUUCCUCGCUUGCAGUUGAGCAAUUUGCACCUGAAGGAGGAGAAAACCAAACCGGAUUCCAAUGGUGCCGUUGUCAAGACGGAUGACAACGUGGAGAAGACGGAGGAUGAGGAAAAAGGAUGGAUGAUCUUGUAUCCUGCCC
This 308-nucleotide long non-coding RNA is filed under the name Apteryx rowi (Okarito brown kiwi). RNAcentral describes it as "lncRNA (ENSARWG00000000048.1)". The record is from RNAcentral. Lineage: Eukaryota; Metazoa; Chordata; Aves; Apterygiformes; Apterygidae.